This 717-nucleotide ribosomal RNA is filed under the name Caprella mutica. Its description in RNAcentral is "partial 18S ribosomal RNA". It matches the Rfam family "Eukaryotic small subunit ribosomal RNA", at positions 1300 to 1831 of the family's 1831-position model. Lineage: Eukaryota; Metazoa; Arthropoda; Malacostraca; Amphipoda; Caprellidae. The record is from RNAcentral.
GGUGGAGCGAUCUGUUUGGUUAAAUUCGAUAACGAACGAGACUCUCCCCUGCUAACUAGUCGGUUGGAUCUUGAAAUGUGAGUUAGCAGCUUCAGGGAUCUCUCCUUGCGUGGUGGUACUUGCGUUCCGGCUGCUGUGCUUGUCGCGGCCUGUCGUGCGUGAUGUGCUCUGCGUGUAGGGUCUCCCUUGGCUGCCCUCCUAGUCCGCCGGCCUUUUAAGGUCUUGAAGAAUUCUUCUUAGAGGGAUCAACGGCUCUGAAGCCGUCAGAGACUGAGAGCAAUAACAGGUCUGUGAUGCCCUUAGAUGUUCUGGGCCGCACGCGCGCUACAAUGCUGGGCACAACAGGUGUUUCUUCCUGCUCCGAGAGGAGCGGGCAACCCUCUGAAAGCCCUUCUUGUCUCUCUCUUUCUGCGUAGUUUCACCUCGUGUGUGCUUCGUAGAGGAGAGCAGCGUGCUUGGGCCUGGGGCUUGCAAUUAUUCCCCACAAACGAGGAAUGCCUAGUAGCGGUGGGUCACUGAGCCCGCCGUGACUGAGUCCCUGCCCUUUGUACACACCGCCCGUCGCUACUACCGAUUGGGUGUUCCAGUGAGAGCCUUGGACUGGCAGAGCCGCCCCUCAAAGGCGGUAUCAUGACUGAAAGAGGUCCGAACUGGUGCACUUAGAGGAAGAAAAGUCGUAACAAGGUUCCCGUAGGUGAACCUGCGGAAGGAUCAUUA